CCUACGGGUGGCAGCAGUGAGGAAUAUUGGUCAAUGGACGAGAGUCUGAACCAGCCAAGUAGCGUGAAGGAUGACUGCCCUAUGGGUUGUAAACUUCUUUUAUAAAGGAAUAAAACGAGGCACGUGUGCCUGUUUGCAUGUACUUUAUGAAUAAGGAUCGGCUAACUCCGUGCCAGCAGCCGCGGUAAUACGGAGGAUCCGAGCGUUAUCCGGAUUUAUUGGGUUUAAAGGGAGCGUAGAUGGGUUGUUAAGUCAGUUGUGAAAGUUUGCGGCUCAACCGUAAAAUUGCAAUUGAUACUGGUAGUCUUGAGUACAGUUGAGGUAGGCGGAAUGCGUGGUGUAGCGGUGAAAUGCUUAGAUAUCACGAAGAACCCCGAUUGCGAAGGCAGCUUACUAAACUGUGACUGACAUUGAUGCUCGAAAGUGUGGGUAUCAAACAGGAUUAGAUACCCUUGUAGUC
This 460-nucleotide ribosomal RNA is filed under the name uncultured bacterium. RNAcentral's name for it is "partial 16S ribosomal RNA". It matches the Rfam family "Bacterial small subunit ribosomal RNA", at positions 338 to 795 of the family's 1533-position model. The record is from RNAcentral.